CUCUCAGGGCUGGAGGAGGUAACAUCUUUGCCUCUCUCUCUCUGUCUGAGGGAAAGACCUGAAGGAGCUCAGUUUUCUGUUUCCAACUUGGGAAACACUAUUGACUAUCUAUUGUAGUUUUUAUAAAUUUUUGAACUCUGAGAAGACCAAAGAAAAACCUGGUGUUUGGUGUAGAUUCUGAAUCUGUUAAGACUCAGAGUCCUAACUGGAUUCUUGUUGAGACUCAACCAGCUAGCGUUUGCUAUUUUAUAAUUUUAAGGCAAAGGUAUAUCCUCAGUACUAAGAAAAGUCAAUGAGUACUUGAUUGAGUCUCCUUAUUCCUGAAAUCAUAAUAAUGGGCUUCUGACCAUGAAGAUUUAGAAACUCACAAAGACCGUCUACUGAGAGAGAGGGGGCUGCCAUCUAUGUGGGGGAAAUACCCACGCAAUGAAAUUACAGAAAUAGUAAAGUAAGAAUAUAUUAAUAUAUCUGUGUAAUAUUUGUUUUUAUUAUAUUUUAUUGAUAUCAUUUUUAAUAAUUUUUCUGAUGUUUUGUGAUCCAUAUCCUCUCUCUUCUACCCAUUCUCCCAAGACAACAGAUAAUAUGACAUAGGUUAUAUUAUUUAUAUAAACAUAUAUUUCAAUAUUCAUCAUGUUGUAAAAGAAAGAAUAUAUCAAUUACACUAUAGAAAAAUUCAUGGAGGAAAUGAAAUGAAGAAUGAUAUGCUUCCAUCUUUAUUAAGACUCCAACAGUUCCUUUUAUGGCAGGGGAUAAACUUUUUUGUUAUUAGUCCCUUAGAUAUUUCCUGGAUCCUUGCAUUGCUGACAAUAUUUUAGUCAUUCACAGCUGAUUAUUGUGUAUUAUUCUUGUUACUGUGUACAACAUGUUCCUGGUUCUGGUUGGAACUUCAUUUUGCAUAAUGUAAUAGAAAUCUUUCCAGGUUUGGGGGGGAUUGACUUGUUUGUCAUUUCUUGUGGCACAAUUGUGUUCUAUUCCAAUUAUAUGCCAUACCUUGUUCAUCCAUUCUCCAAUUGAUGAACAGCUCUUUGCCACUACAAAGAGAGCUGCUAAAAAUGAUAUUUUGUACAAGUUAAUUCUUUUCCUCAAUGUUUGAUCUCUUUGAGAUACAGACCUAGUAGUGUAGUGGUAUUGCUAGGUUAAAGAAUAUGUAUAAUUGUAAGAUCUUUGGGGCAAAGUUCCAAUUUGCUCUUGAGAAUGGUUCUAUCAUUUCACAGCUCCACCAACAGUGUAUUAAUCUAAGUUUUACCACAUCUCCUCCAACAUUUUUUUUAUUUUUUGCCUUAUUUGCUCACCAGAUAGAUGAGUUGGUUGCUCAGAGUUAUUUUAAUUUAUAUUUCUCUAAUUAAUAUUGAUUUGGAGCACUUUUCAUAUGACUUAAAAUAGUUUUAAUUUUUUUCAUCUGAUAAGUGCCUAUUCAUAUCCUUUGAUCAUUUAUCAAAUGGGUGAACAUGAUGGAUCCUGAUAAAUUUGACGCAAUUCUCUAUAUAUUUCAGAAUGAGGUCUUUUCCAGAAAUACUAUAAAACUUUUUUUCCCAAUUUUUUGCUUCUCUUUUAAUCUUGGUUGCAUUGGUUUUGUUUGUACUAAACAAAUUUAAUGUUUUCAGUGUCAUCUAUUUAAAUCUCUAGUGUUCUCUAUGUCUUGUUUGGACACAAAUUCUUCCUUUAGCUAUAGAUAUGAUAAGCAAACUAUUCCAUGCUCCCCCUAUUUUAUGGAAUCACUUUUUAAUUUUUAAACCAUUUUGUAUCCAUUUUGACUUUAAUUUGGUAUAUGGUGAGUUCUUGGUCUGUUCCUAGUUUCUCUCAUACUGCUUCCAAGCUCUCCAAGAAGUUUCAAAUUGUGACUUCUUCCAUAACCUUGCAUCUUUGGGUUUGUCAGACACUACUAUGGUCAUUUAUUGCUAUGUGUUGAGUAUCUAAUCUGUUCCUUUGAUCCAUUAUUCUAUUUCUUAUGCAGUACAAAAUUGUUUUGACAAUUGUUGCCUAUUAAUACAGUUUGAGAUCUGAUACAGGUAAGGCAUCUUCCUUCAUAUUUUAAAAAAUUAAUGCCCUUGAUAUGAAAUGUCUUUUCUUCUUCUAGAUGAAUUUUAUCUUCAUUUUUUUCUAGCUUUCUGGAGUAAUUUUUGUGUAGUUUGAUUGGUAUGGCAUGGAAUGAGUAAAUUAAUUUAGAUAGAAUCAUCAUUAUUAUUAUAUGUGGAUAGUACUUGUGACUACCUAGGGAAUGUUAAUCUGAAUAUACAUUUUAAAGUAUAUUUAUGAUAAACUCAUGCCCAUUUUAUUUUUUAUUAUUUUUUUAUUUUUUUCAUGGUUACAUGAUUAUUGAUGACUCCCUCUCCUCUUCCCUUUCUCCUCCCAGAGUUGAAAAGCAAUUCCACUGGGUUACACAUAUAUUAUCACUCAAAACCCAUUUUAAUAUUAUUCAUUUUUAUAAUAUAGUAAUCUUCUAAACCAAAAUCCCAAAUCAUACACCCAUGAAAAACAACUGAUAAAUCAUAUAUUUUCCUCUGGAUUGCUACUCCCACAUUUCUUUUUCUAAAUGUGGAUAGCCUUCUUUUUUAUUUUUAUUUAGAAUAUUUUUACAUGGUUACAUGAUUUAUAAUCCCACCUACCCUACUCUCUUCUCCCCCACUCCUAAAGCUGACAAGCAGUUGCAUGGGGUUAUGCAUGUAUCAAUGUUCAAAAUAUAUUUCUGUGUUAUUUAUAUUUGCAGUAGAGUGAUCUUUUGACAUCAAAACCUACAUAUACCUAUUGCACCACAUGAUCAAGCAUAUAUUUUUCUAAUGCAUUUCUGGUUCCAUAGUUCUUUCUCUGGAUGUGGAUAGCAUUCUUUCUUACAAGUUUCUCUGGAUUGUCCUGGUUCAUUUCAUGGCUACUAGUAAAAAAGUCUAUUAUAUUCGAUUGUGCCAUAAUAUAUCAAUCUCUGUGUACAAUGUUCUUCUGGUUCUGCUCCUUUUGCUCUGCAUCAAUUCCUAGAGGUCAUUCCAGUUCACAUGGAAUUCCUCCAUUCCUUUAUUCCUUUGUGAGAUUUAAAAUGGUUGAGGUCUUAAACUGUAGUGAUUAAAAUAGUGGAAGAUAUAAAUUGUGAUAGAUAUAAGAGAGGGUGAGUAAAUUUGACCGCAGAAAUAUGUUUCACUACAGUGUCUUGGGUUUUUAAAUCAAAUAUAAGGUGGUCACCAGGGAAAUAUUCCCAAUUAUUCAAAUACCCAAGUCAAUUGGGUUUUAUAGAGAUUUUAAUUAACAAUACGAGAAAUUAAAGAAAGAGAGAGAGAGUAAGAAAGGAAUAAGUAUGAAGGGCCUCAAGCCAAUAUGGCCUAGACCUGAGUCUUAAAAGAGGAAUCAGUCAGUUUUUUAUAACUCACCAUAAGAUCUGUCUAACUAAGAAUUUCUAAUGACACCAUGCCAGCAGCAUCUCAGCUGCUUUCACCAGCUCCCUCCUCCAUCUGAAUGUUUCAGAAUCAGUCUCCUCAGAAUGAGUCUCUCCAAUCUGAAUGUUUCAGAAUGACUUCCCAGCUCUUCCCUGAGCUCUUAUUUUUAAGGGCAAAAUCUCCUAUGUCACCUCCCCUAUGUCCUUACAUCUACCAAUCACUGUAGAUGUUUCUAAAGGACCCCCCAUUUUGAAUUCACAGCCGAGUAGUUUUAAUCUCUUUAAUAAGUCAGGAAAAAAAUGCUGCUGUGUCGACAAAUUUCAUUAGAAAAAACCUCUGAAUAAGUUAUCACCCUUUUAGGUUUAAGUAGUUUACAAGUUGCCCCACCUUUAUAGGUACUUAGUAUCCCAUUGUAUCAAUUCUAAAACAGUCAUGACUCAAAGAACUUCCUGUCCCUUCCAUAAGCAUGGAUCAAAGUACUUUUCAUUGUUCUCAAGGAGCUCUCUGUCCUAAAGCAGUCCUAAGUAGGGUGGAGUAGGGAUAUUCCCAAGGCAAGGAGCCCCCACACUCAAGUAGAGUUCUCACCAUCUGCUAGGGAAUUUUUUAAAGUAGAAGAUUCCCCAAUGGGGGAAACCCCUAACAUUCAUAAGUCUGAGAAAUUUUGAGGUUUACAUUCAGCACAAUAAUAUUCUAUCACCAACAUAUACAAUUUGUUCAGCCAUUCCCCAAUUGAUGGACACUCCUUCAUUUUCCAUAUUUUUUUGCCACCACAAAGUGUGGAUAUAAAUAUUUUUGUAUAAGUCUUUUUUUCUUAUUAUCUCUUUGCAGUACAAACCCAGCAGUAGAAUGCCUAGGUCAAAGGGCAAGCAUUCAUGUAAAGCCCUUUGAGCAUAGUUCCAAAUUGCCCUCCAGAAUGAUUGGACCAAUCCACAACUUUACCAGCAGUGUAAUAGAAUCCCAAUUUUGCUACAUCCCCUUCAACAUUUAUCACUUUCCUUUGCUGUCAUAUUGGCCAAUCUACUAGGUGUGAGGGGUACCUCAGAGUUGGCUUAAUUUGCAUUUCUCUAAUCAGGAGGGAUUUAGAGCACUUUUUCAAGUGCUUAUUGAUAGUUUUGAUUUCCUCCUGUGAAAACUACCUAUUCAUGUCCCUUGACCAUUUGUCGAUUGGGGAAUGGCUUGAUUGUUUGGAAAUUUGACUUAGUUCCUUAUACAUUUAGGAAAUUAUAUCUUUGUCAGGGUAUUUUGUUAUAAAAAUGUUCUCCCAGUUUGUUGCUUUCCUUUUAAUUUUGGUGAUAACAGUCUCUCUCAUAAGUCCCUUAGAGUUGUCUUGCCUGGAUCAUUGCUUUGCUUUUAGUAGCAAAAUCAAUCACAUUUGAUCAUCCCACAAUGUUUCAGUUAUUGUGUAUAAUUGUUCUCCUGCUUCUACUUAUUUAACUCCAAAUCAGUUCAUGUAGGUCAUUCCAGUUUUUAAAGAAAUCCAUCGAUUCAUCAUUCCUCACAGCAUAAUAGUAUUCUAUUAUCAUCAUAUACCACAAUUUGUUCAGCCAUUCCCUAAUCAAAAGAUCUCUGCUCAUUUUCCAUUUUUUUUUUGCCACCACAAAAAGCACAGCUAUAAAUAUUUUUGUACAAAUAGAUCCUUUCCCAUUUUUAAAAUCUUAUUGGGAUACAAACCCAGCAGUGGUAUGGCUGGAUCAAAGGGCAUGCAUUGUUUUAAAGUCCGUUGGGCAUAAUUCCAAAUUGCCUUCCAGAAUGGUUGGAUCAAUUCACAACUCCACCAGCAAUGCCAUGCCUAUUUUAAAGGAUAAAUACAUGCAUACUAUGAACUGGAGACUUAAUAUGUUCAUGGGCAUCAAAGCUUUCAUUUUCCUCAUUUGUAAAAUGGACACAAUAAUAUUUACCCAACUUACUGUGAAUUUUAAAAUCUCCAUCUUGCUUGGUCUAGCACCCAAAAUUGUGCACACCCACACUACACAGGCAUGUGCUAGUCAAUGACAAAUCAGAAAAAACUAACUGCCCACCUGGGCUGUCCUAAGCCAAGCUUGAGCCACCAUUGGCACUUGUGAGGCACAGGAAGUGACGGAGAAAGUAGCCUCUGGAAUUCGCUCACUUCCUGUGGACAGGGCGAGAGGCCAGUUCGUGCUAGAAGCUUGAGCAAGGUGGAGGCCCACAGACAGCUUCCCUUCAGAUCGGUCACGUGAGUCAAGGACUGAUUCCUUCUCUAUCUUGGCCUUUUGGGCCUAAACUCCCUCUGGCUCCCUGCCAGAGGUUGAAUAACCCCUUUCCCUUUUCUCCUCUCUCCUUCUCUCUCUCUCCCUUCUCUUACUCCCAUUGUGAUUAAACCACCAUAAAUUCCAUUCUGACUUGAGUGUUUCAUUUUAGGAAUUUCAUAAGUAAAUUCCUUGGCGGCCUCAGUUUUAAUAUUAUAACAAUCUUCAAAGGUAAAAUUUUCACUAAAACAUUACCAAGACAUCAUGAGGAAAAUAUCUCACAAUCUGCGGAAUUGUUGAAUAUAAUUGCAGAUUAUUAUUUCUGGUGAGUUCUAUUUCCUCACCAGAUUAAAAAAAAAAAAAACUUCUCAAAAAUCCUAUAUUGGCCCUUUGGUGUUUGUAGUAUCCUUAAGAUACUACUUAAGAUACUUAAGAUACUGGAAUCAAAAGAUACAUCUGAAAGGUGGGACCUGAAGAGUCUCUGAAGAAAUAAGGACUUUUAGAAUCAAAUGGAUUUACUCUUCAUUUGCACCCUGAAUUUCUGAGUUGGCUUCAUCAGUAGCGAACUAGUUCACUUUCUCUUGUGGAAUCAUUGAGAGGUCUUGAGAAGACCCUGUACUAUCUCCUCCCUUUCACUAUUAGGGACUAACUUCCCUGAGUUUUGAAGGCUUUAGAUUUUGUGAGUGUCAAAUUAAGGUUAAAAUUAAUUAAUUAAUCUUGACAGUGGCAAAAAUUCAAGUUUUAUAACUACCACUUUAAUCAAAGCCACUGUGUAGACCUCCUGGGAAGAGAAGGAAAGAGGAGGAAGGGCAAAGGAACUGCCAAGAUAGUGCCCUACCGCUGCUUAAGUUAGUCAUCCUUAUAUUUCUUUCUGUGUUUCUUCUAUGAGACUUCUAUGAGGGAAAUGAAAUUAGGUGCAUACAUCUGAAAAUGAUUCCAUUUUUCCCAGCUGAGCUAUAAAAGUAAUUGUGAAUAAUAUUUGUCAAUAUUUACAAAAUGUUUGCCAUAUAACUAUGUAUUGAUUGCCUUCUGGUAGAGAAAAAAAUACUCCAGCUCAACUUUUGGCUAACCACUCUUCCACCUUGGCUUGUGAACCACUUCAAGCUAAGAGAAAUACUAAAGGCUCAAUGUCUAGGGAAGCAAUCUUCUCUAGGGGGAACCUUGGGGAAAAAUUGUGAUGAGCCAAGCACUUUCAUCAAUUACUUUAUCAUAGGGUUACUACCCCCAGUCACCCAUACCAGGUGAUUGAUCAGGUUAACUCUGCUUUCUCUGUCCACAACUAUGCUUCUCUUAUUGAGAUGUCUUUCUUUCCUGUAUCUUAUCCCCACAGGACCAAAAGUAUUAUUACAAUGGAAAAGAACACUGAUUAAAUCAGAUAAUCACAGAAUCUAGAUUCUAGUCCAUACCUUGCCACUAAGUACUAUGUUACCUUAUGCAAAAUAUGAGCUACAUAAUUUAAAUGAUCCUCAUAACUAUAUCAGUCAUAAAUACUCCAGAUUAUCCUCAUUUUAUAGAUAGGGAAAUUGACUUCAGAGAGGCUAAAUUAUGUGCCUGUGUUCAUUCCACAAUGAGUAUGUACUGAAGAUGGGGUUUGAACUGAAGAUUUUUCCUUACUGCAAGUCUAGAGCUCUUUCCAUUUGGCCCUUCCUGUCAAGGUCAUGUCAUUUUCCUUCUCUACACUUCAGAAAUUCAGGCCGUGGUCUUCAAGGGGAAACAUUAUUUUAGUAGAUUCUUUUUGAUAUCCCUCAAAAAUUUCAAAUAGGUCUCAUAUCAAGUCUAGUAUAGUAUUUUUAUAGAUUCUCACUACAGAACUUUUCUCUCAAAGGAGAAAACCUAUUAUAGAAAUCCUGAGAGAAAAAAAAUCUAUCUUCAAUGAAAUUCUGUGAAUAACUGUGUCAUCUAAGCUGUAGUUUAGAACAACUAAGCAUACCGAUCAGUAGCCACAGAUCAAUUGCUUUAGAAUAAGAUAAAAAAAAUGCCUAAAACCAAGCCUAGAAGAAAAAAAAACUGUCAACUUGUGAUUCAUAGAUAGUAUAUUCAAGUCUUCAAAAAUUAUGUCAUGUACAGUUUAAUUCAUUGUUAAAACAAAAUACCAACAACUAAGCCCUUAAAAAAAUGCGUUGAGCUGUAAUUCAUAGGAUAGCAGUACCUUCUUGUUGAAAUAUGUCAUGCUAAAUAAAGCAACGGUGAGAACCUUAGGGCAGAUAGAUUUUGCCUACCAAUUACAGAGUCACUGUAUUUACAAAUGGCAUGUUUAUUGGGAAAAAAUGAAUUGUAUUCUGAUUAAAUAUUUUACUAGAAGUUAUUACAUCCAGUGAAUUAUUUUGAAAAAGCAAAGCCACCUGGACAUUUUUUGUAACUUUGUAACUCCAAAUUUACGAAAGACAUAAUUACUUUCAAUACCAGUGAUGGCAAACCUAUGGAAUGGGUGCCAAAGAUGGCAUACAGAACUCUCUCUAUGGGCAUACAUGCUGCCCUUCCCCCCACCCCAACCCCCCAGAGUUCAUUACUAGAAAGGUAGAAGGCUUUGGGCAAAGCUGCUCCACUCCUGCUCUCCACCACACCUGAAGACAUUUUUUCACAUCAUACACCCUUCUGCCCAGUAGCCCAAAUGAGAACACUUUCUCUCUCCACUAUGUAAGGAAAGGGAGGGUUGAGGUUAAGGGGGGCCAUGAUGCUCAGUUGGGGUUGGGCAGCAGUUCAUCUCUAAAAGGUUUCCCUUCACUAUUCUAUUUCCUGAAUAGAGCAUUAGACUUAAGAGAAAAACUCAGAAACUCAAAAUCUGCCUCUCUCACAAAAAUAGUGGGGAUACUAACAAAAUAUCAAUCUAUAUAUAAGCUGUUCCUGGUAGUUAUAAGGAUAUUAGAAAAUAAGUAUUGUUUUUAUUAGUUUAGAGGUAAGAAGUAGAGUGGCUGGCUUGAGAAAGAAUUAGAGUUUGAAGCAGAGCUGAGAGAGGGUGUUAAUUUGAAUUGUUGAUAAUUAUAACCAUUUUUCUGUGUCAAUUACUCUCUGGCAGUUGGCAGAGACACAUACGCAGAGACUCUCAGGGAUGGAGGAGAUAACAUCUUUACCUCUCUCUCUCUCUCUCUGUCUGGGAGGAAAAGACCUGAGGGAAUUCAGUGUUUUCCUUUCCCAACUUGGGAAACACUAUUGAAUAUCUAUAGCAGUUUUUAUAGAUUGAUUUAACUCUGAGAAGACCAAAGAAAAACCUGGUCUUUGGUUUGGACUCUGAGUCUAUUAAGGCUCAGAGUCCUAACUGGAUUCUUAUUGAGACUCAACCAGCUAGCCUUUGCUAUUGUAUAAUUUGAAGGGAAAAUUAAGAAUUAUAAGGAUAAUAUCAAUUGUUUUUAUUUAGAUAGUAUAAAUUUGGGUUAGUCAGAUCAGGGAGGAUUAGUGUAGCCUGUGAAACACAAAAGAAGAGGUUCCUUGUGAAACCUGUGAGUUUAUUUGGGUGGAUUUAGAAUCCCUUAGAAUUAGAAAUCCUUUUUUAUCCUUAUAUAUUUCAAUAAACAUUUUAUUCUUUAUAAUAAGAGUCUCUUUAGUGUCCUUGCAGCUGGCCCUGAAGGGAAGUUCAAAUUUGAGCUUCACUUAAUAACUGAAAAUACUUUUGAUUAUCUCUCAAAAGUAUCUCAACAAUUUGAACCUGUAUUGACGAGUUUGCUAUCUAUAUUUAUAUAGCUCAUCAUUGUUUUUUUUUACAUAGUUUACAUCCCUAAAAUGAGAUCUCCUCAAAAGGAAAAUGAUACAUCACCAAACAACAAAAUAUAACAUCAAUUUUAGGUCACACUAAGCCAGAUUUGUGAGUAAAUGGGAACUAUAUCUAGACCAUCAUAGUUGCCCUGUCAAGUGGUUGGCAUUUGUGGAUAUAAUGAUGUAAAGUUACCUGUUAUUCAUUUUGUGAGUGGGAAUUGAAUAUUACACCAAUUAAAAUUAGAAACCUGACUAUAAAAAUUGAGCAGUUAUAGAACUUGGUAUCCCAGAAACAAAUCUAUCAUGGAUAAAUAAACAGAGGCUGCAUCUCCCUUUGAAUUUUACUACUUGUUAGAAAUCUUAGUUAUUAAUUUUGUUUUAUUUUUAGGAAAAGUACUUUAGUAUGGUAAAGCUUCCAUACCUGUUCUUUUCACUCUAGGAAAGGGCAGCACUAUAACAUGUAGUUUUUAUUUGUGCAAAUUAGCAUUAUUACAAGUAUAAUUUUGAAACACUUGUUAGAGGCUUUUAGGGGAAGAUUCACAUCUACAAUUUUUAAUAAUAAUAAUAAUUGAAAAAUAUUGAUCAGGAGGGAAUUGUGGAUAGAUGGUAGAAUAAAGUUGGAAAUUUCCUGGAUUUCCUAAUUCUACCCCAAAUAAUUCAGAAUAAAGCCACAAAGUCCAUUUGAGAGAGGCAAAAAUAAAGUCAGGGCAAACAGUGAUCAAUCUUACAGCAACUUACUUGGGAGGUUGUUAGAAAAUAUCUAACCUUUCAUAGUGUUGAUUCAGAGUGGAGUGAAGUACAGAUAAGUCUGGGCAGAUACCCCCUCUUCAAUAAAUAGCAAAUUUUACGGGCAGGUAUGUUGGGGGCAGCCUCAGAUUCAGGAACUUUUGCCUCACAAAUUAUGUCUUUCUCUAGAUACAGAGAAGGGGACAGCUAUAAGAUUCCUCAGAUGGUGAUGGACAAAAGGCCCAGGUCCAAUUAUAGACACUGUCCAGGGCUGCAUCACAGAGUAUGAGGAGUGAGAACACACUGCUUAAUACAUCUACAAAGGAGUAGAGACCUGCCAAUUGUGAUCAUUAACAGGAGAAAGGAGUCCCUGGUUUUAGUUCCAGAGCAGAGGAGCAAGCUAAAUCUUAAAGCUGCCUAAAGGACUACAGGGAGCAAGAGCAUUUGCAGUAUCAGUGGUGUUGGAGUCAUGGUUACAUUUCAGGAGAUGGAAAGAAAUACCAAGGGCCAUUCAGAGGUCUAGACAUGAGCCUGAGGAACAGAGACCAUGCCUCACUUUGAUGAUAGAAAACAAGAAUAAUCAAGAAAGUUAAAUACCCUCAAAUAGAGCUCAGAAAACAACAGCACAAAAAUCCUAAAACCUGAGACAUUGUUCCCUUUACACUGGGAGGGGCAGAGCCUGAACCUAACAUAAAGUUAACAGCCAAGAGAUACACAUUUUUAAGAGAAAAUUAGCUAACAACAGAGAAAAAUCCAGUGUAGAUAGCUACUAUGGUGAAAGAGAAGAUUGGAUAUUUAACUAAACAUUUUUUGAAACAUUGGUCAUUUAAUUAAGGACUAAUUAAUUUAUAAUUAAUUAAAGGACUUUGAGACAUUCUUGAGGAAAAGACAAAAACUGAACUGAAAAUUUGACUUAUAAGAAACAGGAGAAUCAUUAGAAGGUAAACAUUAAAGAAUAAUUAUAAGGGAUUUAAUGAGGUAGAACUUUUAUUUCUUUAAUGGGAAAAUUAUAUUUGUAACUCUUAAAAGUAUUACCAUUGUUAUGGUACAUAGAUAGUAUACAUAGAUAGAAAGUUUGGGGUUGAAUUGGUUAUAAUGGCAUGAGAGAUAAAAUGGAACAAAAUAUCUCAAAUUAAAGAAGUGUAAGGAGGGGAGAAUGGGGUGGAGGGCAGGUAGUAUGGGACUAUUUUUAGAAUUGGAAUAGAUAAUUUUAUAUAUAUGUGUGUGUGUGUGUAUGUGUGCAUGUGUGUGUAUGUGGAUGUAAAAAAAGUCUACUAAAUGUAUAAAGAAAUAAGAAAAUGGGAUAGGAUAAGGAGGAGAAUCUUGUAAGGUUAUGUUGUUAAGAAAUAGGAGGACAAGGAGAUAGGAUAAGGGAGGGACUCAGAAGGGUGUAUGGAAUAGGGAGGCAGUGAUCAGAAAUAAAUUAGACAUCUGAGAAGGUAUGAGGGAGAGAGAAGGAUAAAUAGGGAUGAAAAAUAGAAUAGAAAGGAAAACACAACUAGUAUUUAUAACUUUGAAUGUGAAUGGGGUGAAUUCACCCACAAAGUUUAAAAGGAUAGCAGUAUGAAUUUUAAAAAAUUAGAACCUCACAAUGUGUUCUUUAUAAGAAAGACAUUUCAAAAUGAGAAGUACACAUAAAAUAAAAAUAAGGGGUUGGAGUGGAGUUUAUUUUGCUCUAGCUGAUGUUUAAAAAAGGGUAGCAAUCAUGAUCUCAGACAAAGUUAAAAUUAAGCUAAAUUUAAUUAAGAGAUAAGCAGGGAAACUGUAUUGUGUUAAAAGGUAAUAUAAAUAAGGAAAGAAUAUCAAUUAAAACACACAUGAACCAAAAAAUCAAAAGAUGUCAUCCAGAUUUUUAGGAAGGAAAUUUAGGAAGGAAAAGCUAAAUGAAUCACAGGUGGAAGUAGAUAGCAAAACUGUAAUAAUGGAGGGACUUUAAGAUUCCCCUCUCAUAAACCAGAUAAAUCUAACCAGAAAUAUAAGCAAGAGGUCAAGAAGAUGAAUAAUAUCUUAGAAAAUCUAGGUAUGAUACAUAUAUGGAAAGCACUGAAUGGGAACAGAAAUUAAUAUACCUUUUUCUAAAGUGGUAUAUGGCACCUUUACAAAAAUAGAACAUACAUCUAUAUGUUCAUAAAUAUAUCUUUCCUUAAAGGAAGACAAGAUGUAGCUUACCUACUCCUAUGAAAUAAUGGAAGACUUCUACUUGUUCCUGUUAUUAUUCUUUUGUUUUAGCACUUGGAUAGGUCCUGUAGUUAAAAGCUUCAGAUACUGCUCAUCAUGAGUGGGAAAAUAUUUGUGGAGAGUCUGGAAAGGGAAGAGGACCAGAGAAAGAAAAGUUGGGAGAGCUCCUAGGUGUGUGCUACAUUAGUAUCCAAUCAAAGUCCAGGUCUAGAAAGUUUUCUAAAUCUUUUAUGUAGGAUUCAUAGAAGGACAAGGUCAAGUGUCAUGCCAAGCCAUGAAUUCCAAAAUAUUUAUAAGAUACUUUUUGACACUUUUGAACACUCUGACAUGUAUAAAAAUAUCAUUAUUUAAAUUGCAAAGUUUAAAUUCCUUUUGAGAAGAAUUUUAGGUAAAGAAGAUGCUACCUCUCUGAAUCCAGAACUGAACUGUUGGAGAAGCCACCAUGAAGAAGCCUCCAGACCACAAGUUGCACAAAAUUGAACUUUGGGUGUGGUUGAUUGAACAUUUUUUUGUAUCUGUACUUUCAUGCCAAAGGGGACUGCCCCCUAACUGGCUUUGUGUCAAUGCGUUCAGCAAUUAUUGGUUUUAUUCUUUUGUUUCUCUUAUCCUCAAAUUAUUGUAAUCUUUAAAUUGAUUAUGUUUUCAUGAUCCUUUGGAAAAAAAUUAAUUUUUUUCAAACGAUCAAAGGGGUGAAUGUAAAAAAUAGACUCGAAUACAGGACUACAAUCCCCACGAGCCUUUGCUCCACUUCCCCAGAAUGCCUUGUAAUCUCACCUGGGCCGAGAUCGAGAAGGUAUUUAAGCUGAUUCAAAGGCUUUUGAGCUCUUUUUUUCUCGCUUUUGGACUUCCGUUUCAGGGGCAGACCUGGCUUUUUUUCAUAAUGUAGGUGAGGUUGUGUCUAGGCCACUCUAUGGCCUGGACACGUGUUUCUAACCCUGUAUUUUCUUUAAUCCUUAAUCUUCAAUAAACCGCUAAAAAAAUAUAAUACUCCUUGUAGAGAGAAACUAAUUUCUACCUGCCUCAGUCUCCCCAUCUCCCCUAAAUUUUAAUCUUUACAGACAGCAAAGAACUAGAAACAAAGUAGUAACCAUUAAUUUGAGAAUGGUUAAAGAAAUUCUUGGUACAUGAUUGUAAUGAAAUACUACUAUGCUAUAAGAAGCUAUAAUCAUGAUGAAUAUAGGGAAAUGUGGGAAAAUGUACAAUGUACUGCUACUGUACAAAGUGAAGUAAGCAUAUACAAUGACUUGAAAAAUGUAAAUGGAAAGAACACCCACACAAAACAAUAAAAAAUUAAUGUUGCAAAAUUAUCAAGAAUAAAAUUGGCCACUUUCCAAACUUAUCCACAAAAUAUAAAAAAUAAUAAUAACUCUACAGAAUUAAUGCUAAAAGCUGCAAAAUUGGAAGAGUCAGGAGUGAAGCAGAAUAGCCAGGGACAACUAAGAAGAGGGGUCUUUGACAUUUCUGGCUUCUUCAUUGUCUGGUGGUACAAGCACCCUGGAGCAAACAAAGGAAUCAACAAGCUGCAAGCCUUAGAGGCAGGGUGGGCAGCCUUGCCUUUUCUGCUUAACCUAGGAGUCUAUAUCCCAAUGGCACAUACCAGCAAAGGCAACAUUCAAUGAGCCCUGGGAGCAGCUGUGUGGGCUGGUCUUGCCUCCAGAGGUGUCCACUCACUGACUGUCUCAGGUUUCAGCUUCAGGAUAAGAGGAGCAAAGAGGGAACACAAACUGGUGAGUGUGAUUGCUGAUGGGCUGGGACUCUGCUGGCUAUAGUCAUCCACAGGACAGGGAAGUCCAUGACUACUAUCCCAGAUCCAGCAAAAGCAUUGCUAGGUCUCUUUCCCAAGGAGAUCAGUGGAAAAGGAAAGUAAUUUAUAUGUUCAUAAAUAUUUAUAGCAUCUCUUUGUGUUGGCAAAAAACUGGAAAUCGAGGGGAUGUUCAUCAAUUGGGGAAUGAGGAAACACAUUGUGGUAUAUGAUUGUGAUGGAAUACUACUGUGCCAUAAGAAACAAUGAGAAGAUUAAUUUAAAAAAAAAAACUUGUAAUGAACUGCAUGAGAUAAUGAAGAGUGAAAUGAGUAGAACCAAGAGAAUAUUAUAUACAACUAAAUUUAAUAUUUGAAGAAUAACUUGUGAAUGUUCAUCUCCAAAGAAUGAGCCAAACACAAAAGAUAUAAUUUAUGUAGACACAUCUGUUUGCUGGAUGAUGCCUUCUAUGAUAUGGCAAGGGCUAGAAAGGCUGAGAUGCCUGGAAAUAAUUUCUAUCAAUUAAAAAAUUAAAAAGAAUACACUUGGCCCUAAAGAGCAAUGAGAAUAAACCUUAUCCUACUUCUUUGUACCAGUGUUGAAUGUUGAAUAUUGUCAACUGGGUUUUUUGGGAACUCCAAAUUUGCCCUUGACCCAUAAGAACUCACCCUGAGGGAAGUCUCAGACUUAUCCAUUUCAUACUGAACAAUAGACCUUAAAGUACUUAAUAGUCCAAGUUUAGGUGAAACUAGUAGAUUUAAUCAAAUGUUAAGUACCCUUUUGUACCAGUAGUUUCUCCUGUUAUAUCAAAGUCCCAUUGUAAAGCAUCAGCCUCUCCCUGAUGAUCCUGUCUUAGACUUCUCAUUUCCUUGGAGCCAUGAUAAUGCCAAAUCAAUCAUACUUCCCUGUCCUUAGUUCCCCAAUUGGUGUACUAUUGUUCUUCAGAGAAUCAUCUCACACAGGUAUAUUCUCCCAGAGAUACUGUCCCCAGAGGCCCAGGGUUUUGACUCUGUGUAGUACUUGGUGCUUGGCUCUGUGUAGUGUCAAUUAUUACGUACUUAUCUCUUUCCUGAUUAAAGAGUUGGUUUUUAUGACUAAGUUAGUAGUUCUGUGUUUUUCCAAGUUGACAAUAUAUUGUCAAGGUUUGUUGUUGUUGUUAUUGUUUAAUAUAUUGAUUACUUUUGGUGUUUUUUUUUUCUCUUUUUCUCUUUUUUUUUCUCCAAAAAAUUUUAUAUGGGAAGAAUCUAUGGGAGGGGGUAGAAAUACAGGUGAAAAUUUCAUCAGUGUAAAAAUAAGACAUCAAUAAAAUUUAUUUUAAAAUACUGUUAUAAAAGAAGUAUGAAUGGAUUUUUAUCUGUAUCAUUGGUAAGAAUACUUAUAUUGAUGAGAUCUCAAAGUCAUCUAAGCAUUCAUCAAAGCAGUGUAUGUAUGUAUGUAUGUAUUUCAAAGCCAUACAUUUACAUAUUACAUUAUUUUAAGGUUCAGUCCAUAUAUUACUCAAUUAGUGCACUCAGAAAGAAGUAUAUCAUGAAGAAGUAACAAUAGACUAAAUUCAACUUUUGUUCUAUAUGUCUUUUCUGGGCAUGGGUAUUCACUGUUUUUGGUGUACAGGGCCCUUUUGUAGGACAGGAAAUAAAAAAUGGGGGAAUAUUUAUCUAUGUGUAUGAGUAUGAGUGCAUACCCCAAUAUCCACAGGACAGCCAUGCUACAAGAAUUGUUCUGUAUCACCAGACACCUUUGAAAUAAGCAAGCAAAUGAUGAAAGCAGUAUCUAGGGACAGAUGUGUAUAGAGUUGUCAUGAUAUUCAAAAACAAUGUAUAUGAUUCUAUAUUUUUAAAGUCUGAACAUGUGAAGAAAUUACAUGAUUGUAACAGAAAUAAGUACUUUCAGGAAUAGCAACUAAACCAAGGAGUAUUGCUGUCCUUAAUAGGAUAGGUACAAAAAUGCACUAGAGAAUAGAAUGGAUUAACCAAUGCUUAUUGAACCUAAAAAAAGUCUAUUUGAGUGCACAAAAUUAAAGAUGGAAUAUAGUCUUGAUCUCCAAUAUUGUUUGAGGGCUUAAAAGAAAGUGUUAAAAAAAUUUAUAGUGAAUAUAUUAUCCACCAAUAUAAAUGCAUUAAGGUGGAAGAAACUUCCUGCCUUUAAGGUAUUAAAAGUAGAGUUGAUGAUAGCCCAGCAUUAUUCAUUACAUCAAAUGGAGAUGCCUUUAAAUUUAUAUUAAAUUCAAUUUAAAUGCCAUCAAAACCAUGGUUGACAAAGUACUGACAGAUGAAUAUUUUAGUAUGAUUCAAUAGCAGUAAACUUUAUUUUCUUACCUUGAGGCAAGGUGAUAGAUUUUUUAUAUGCAGUAGGGUUGCACAGAGUUUGUAGUAACAUAGCUUAUGAUUUUCAUAAAGUAAAAAUUUAUCUUUAAAAUGUUUUAAACCCACUUAUAAGUCUUGAGCUCUAAAAAAAUGUCUUCAGGGUUGUUUUGGUUUUGCUCAUUAGUUCACACCAUAAAACCUAAUAGCCCACUCAUAUCUUUCUAUGAAAUAUUUAACUUCAGAAUUAGCACACAAUAAUAAUAACAUGAAAGGAUUAAUUUAUCCUAUUAAUAUUCGAUGCUACACAAACUCAGUUUUUCCUUUUGAGCUAUUGGAUAUGAGAGAGAGAAGGAUAUAGCAGAGCACCUAUUUACUAAAGGAGAGGUUCUUAGCCCUUUAUUCCAGUCUGGUGAAGCCUAUGGACCCCUACUCAGAAUAAUGUUUUUAAAUAUGUGAAAUAAAAUACAUAGAAUUUCAAAGGAAGUCCAUUAUGUUGAAAUCAUUAUCAAAGUUUUUUUUUUCCUUAUGCAAGGUCAUAGAUCCCAGACUAAAAGCUCCUGUUUUGAAUGAAACCACUCUCCUAACUUUUUUUAAAAUUUUAUUUAAUUAAUUAAUUAAUUUAGAAUAUUUUUCCAUGGUUACAAGAUUCAUGUUCUUUCCCAACCCUCUCCCCACUCUAUUACUGUAGCUCACACGCAAUUCCAAUGGGUUUUACAUG
This is a non-coding RNA of Monodelphis domestica (gray short-tailed opossum), 16925 nucleotides long. Lineage: Eukaryota; Metazoa; Chordata; Mammalia; Didelphimorphia; Didelphidae. The record is from RefSeq and is a predicted model, not a curated record.